This 253-nucleotide ribosomal RNA is filed under the name uncultured bacterium. Its description in RNAcentral is "partial 16S ribosomal RNA". It matches the Rfam family "Bacterial small subunit ribosomal RNA", at positions 524 to 776 of the family's 1533-position model. The record is from RNAcentral.
UACGUAGGGGGCGAGCGUUGUCCGGAUUUACUGGGCGUAAAGCGCGUGUAGGCGGGAGAUUAAGUCGGGUGUGAAAGCCCGGGGCUCAACCCCGGGAUGCCGCCCGAGACUGGUCUCCUUGAGGACGGAAGAGGGGAGUGGAAUUCCUGGUGUAGCGGUGAAAGGCGUAGAGAUCAGGAGGACCACCCGUGGCGAAGGCGGCUCCCUGGUCCGUUUCUGACGCUGAGACGCGAAAGCGCGGGGAGCGAACGGG